CCCAGACUCCUACGGGAGGCAGCAGUGGGGGAUAUUGCACAAUGGGGGAAACCCCGAUGCAGCGACGCCGCGUGAGUGAAGAAGUAUUUCGGUAUGUAAAGCUCUAUCAGCAGGGAAGAAAAAAGACGGUACCUGACUAAGAAGCCCCGGCUAACUACGCGCCAGCAGCCGCGGUAAUACGUAGGGGGCAAGCGUUAUCCGGAUUUACUGGGUGUAAAGGGAGCGUAGACGGCAAUACAAGUCGGAAGUGAAAUACCCGGGCUUAACCUGGGAACUGCUUUGGAAACUGUAUGGCUGGAGUGCUGGAGAGGUAAGCGGAAUUCCUAGUGUAGCGGUGAAAUGCGUAGAUAUUAGGAGGAACACCAGUGGCGAAGGCGGCUUACUGGACAGUAACUGACGUUGAGGCUCGAAAGCGUGGGGAGCAAACAGGAUUAGAUACCCGAGUA
Molecule: ribosomal RNA, 446 nt
Filed under: uncultured bacterium
Lineage: Bacteria
Description: bacterial SSU rRNA
Rfam family: Bacterial small subunit ribosomal RNA
Source: RNAcentral